Molecule: unclassified non-coding RNA, 372 nt
Filed under: uncultured Sordariomycetes
Lineage: Eukaryota; Fungi; Ascomycota; Sordariomycetes
Description: sequence contains ITS2
Rfam family: 5.8S ribosomal RNA (bases 1-152)
Source: RNAcentral
AACUUUCAACAACGGAUCACUUGGUUGGCAUCGAUGAAGAACGCAGCGAAAUGCGAUAAGUAAUGUGAAUUGCAGAAUUCAGUGAAUCAUCGAAUCUUUGAACGCACAUUGCGCCCGCUAGUACUCUAGCGGGCAUGCCUGUUCGAGCGUCAUUUCAACCCUCAAGCCCGGCUUGGUGUUGGGGCCCUACGGCUGCCGUAGGCCCUGAAAGGAAGUGGCGGGCUCGCUAAAACUCCGAGCGUAGUAAUUCGUUUUCUCGCUAUGGUCGUUGCGGCGGUGCUCUUGCCGUUAAAGACCCAUCUUUAACCAAAGGUUGACCUCGGAUCAGGUAGGAAUACCCGCUGAACUUAAGCAUAUCAAUAAGCGUAGGCU